RNAcentral lists this ribosomal RNA (466 nucleotides) under uncultured bacterium. RNAcentral describes it as "partial 16S ribosomal RNA". It matches the Rfam family "Bacterial small subunit ribosomal RNA", at positions 28 to 507 of the family's 1533-position model. The record is from RNAcentral.
GACGAACGCUGGGCGUGCUUAACACAUGCAAGUCGAACGGAAAGGCCCUGCUUUUGUGGGGUGCUCGAGUGGCGAACGGGUGAGUAACACGUGAGUAACCUGCCCUUGACUUUGGGAUAACUUCAGGAAACUGGGGCUAAUACCGGAUAGGAGCUCCUGCUGCAUGGUGGGGGUUGGAAAGUUUCGGCGGUUGGGGAUGGACUCGCGGCUUAUCAGCUUGUUGGUGGGGUAGUGGCUUACCAAGGCUUUGACGGGUAGCCGGCCUGAGAGGGUGACCGGCCACAUUGGGACUGAGAUACGGCCCAGACUCCUACGGGAGGCAGCAGUGGGGAAUAUUGCACAAUGGGCGGAAGCCUGAUGCAGCAACGCCGCGUGCGGGAUGACGGCCUUCGGGUUGUAAACCGCUUUCGCCUGUGACGAAGCGUGAGUGACGGUAAUGGGUAAAGAAGCACCGGCUAACUACGUG